Molecule: ribosomal RNA, 497 nt
Filed under: uncultured bacterium
Lineage: Bacteria
Description: partial 16S ribosomal RNA
Rfam family: Bacterial small subunit ribosomal RNA
Source: RNAcentral
GAUGAACGCUGGCGGCGUGCCUAAUACAUGCAAGUCGAGCGAACAGAUAAGGAGCUUGCUCCUUUGAAGUUAGCGGCGGACGGGUGAGUAACACGUGGGUAACCUACCUAUAAGACUGGGAUAACUUCGGGAAACCGGAGCUAAUACCGGAUAACAUUUAGAACCGCAUGGUUCUAAAGUGAAAGAUGGUUUUGCUAUCACUUAUAGAUGGACCCGCGCCGUAUUAGCUAGUUGGUAAGGUAACGGCUUACCAAGGCGACGAUACGUAGCCGACCUGAGAGGGUGAUCGGCCACACUGGAACUGAGACACGGUCCAGACGCCUACGGGAGGCAGCAGUAGGGAAUCUUCCGCAAUGGGCGAAAGCCUGACGGAGCAACGCCGCGUGAGUGAUGAAGGGUUUCGGCUCGUAAAACUCUGUUAUUAGGGAAGAACAAAUGUGUAAGUAACUGUGCACAUCUUGACGGUACCUAAUCAGAAAGCCACGGCUAACUACGUG